ACCGGUGUGUGAAGAAGCCUUAGGUUGUAAAGCACUUUCAAUUGGAAGGAAAAACUCAUGGCCAAUACCCGUGAGCUUGACAUUACCUUUAGAAGAAGCACCGGCUAACUCCGUGCCAGCAGCCGCGGCAAUACGGAGGGUGCAAGCGUUAAUCGGAAUUACUGGGCGUAAAGCGUGCGUAGGCGGCUCGCUAAGUCAGAUGUGAAAGCCCCGGGCUCAACCUGGGAACGGCAUUUGAAACUGGCAAGCUAGAGUUUGGGAGAGGAGAGUGGAAUUUCAGGUGUAGCGGUGAAAUGCGUAGAGAUCUGAAGGAACACCAGUGGCGAAGGCGACUCUCUGGCCUAAAACUGACGCUGAGGUACGAAAGCGUGGGUAGCAAACAGGAUUAGAUACCCUGGUAGUCCACGCCGUAAACGAUGUCAACUAGCCGUUGGCUCUCUUAGAGAGUUAGUGGCGCAGCUAACGCAUUAAGUUGACCGGCUGGGGAGUACGGNCGCAAGGUUAAAACUCAAAUGAAUUGACGGGGGCCCGCACAAGCGGUGGAGCAUGUGGUUUAAUUCGAUUGCACG
Molecule: ribosomal RNA, 569 nt
Filed under: uncultured bacterium
Lineage: Bacteria
Description: bacterial SSU rRNA
Rfam family: Bacterial small subunit ribosomal RNA
Source: RNAcentral